GAUAAAAAUAGCAGCACUUGAAAUCCUUCUCUUUGAAACAAUUUAUUUUAAACAGAUAUUUUAAUUUGUGUUACAACACAGAUGCAAAAAAAAGCCAAGUUUAUCUGCAGCUUUGCUAACUGGAGCCAGCCCAUCAUUAUGCUAAGCGUUAUGUAAUGUUAACAAAAUAGAGCUGGUGCCUACACAUCUUAUGCUAACUAAUGCACUUUACAGAAGUAUAAAUAUCAAUUUACCAAAGCAAAUAACUGCAGAACAAACAAUAAAACAUUAGUUCCCAUAUUGCCACACUAGCACAUGGAACAGCAUGAGUAUUUAUGAACUUGCAGAGCAGUUCAAAUGCUGGUGCUUAUCCACAGCAACGUAAGCAGGCAUGCAGGUGCUGGAAAACAGAGAUGGCUCAGGGACGCCACCCAGAUCCUGAAUUAAUCACCUCCUCUUGACUAUUGAACCCUUCUCAUCCACCAUCAAGAAAACAAUACAAUAUCUUCUGAAAUUCAAAGCAGUGAUUUAUUAGCCAAGAAGGAAUGUAUUACCUUUGAUACAUCUGGAAGCACAGUAAGUAUUCUCAAUGUAACCACAUUAUUCCUCUGAAUGAAAAAGGCAAUUCUUUCCAGCACAGCUUCACUAUUUAUAAAAAGAGAAUAUUCAGUGG
This 652-nucleotide long non-coding RNA is filed under the name Anas platyrhynchos platyrhynchos (common mallard). Its description in RNAcentral is "lncRNA (ENSAPLG00000021021.1)". Lineage: Eukaryota; Metazoa; Chordata; Aves; Anseriformes; Anatidae. The record is from RNAcentral.